GACGAACGCUGGCGGCGUGCUUAACACAUGCAAGUCGAGCGGUAAGGCCCUUUCGGGGGUACACGAGCGGCGAACGGGUGAGUAACACGUGGGUGACCUGCCCUCAGCUCUGGGAUAAGCCCGGGAAACUGGGUCUAAUACUGGAUAUGACUCCACGGUGCAUGCCGUGGGGGUGAAAGCCUUGUGCGGCUGAGGAUGGGCCCGCGGCCUAUCAGCUUGUUGGUGGGGUGA
Molecule: ribosomal RNA, 231 nt
Filed under: uncultured bacterium
Lineage: Bacteria
Description: partial 16S ribosomal RNA
Rfam family: Bacterial small subunit ribosomal RNA
Source: RNAcentral